UUUACCUUCGGGUAUUGAGGAUGGCGGACGGGUGAGUAACGCGUAAGGAACUUGCCUCUUGGACUGGGACAACUGUUGGAAACGACAGCUAAUACCGGAUAUUAUGAGAUUCUCGCAUGGGAAACUUAUGAAAGCUAUAUGCGCCAAGAGAGAGCCUUGCGUUCCAUUAGCUAGUUGGUGGGGUAAUGGCCCACCAAGGCGACGAUGGAUAGCCGGCCUGAGAGGGUGAACGGCCACAAGGGGACUGAGACACGGCCCUUACUCCUACGGGAGGCAGCAGUGGGGAAUAUUGGACAAUGGGCCACAAGCCUGAUCCAGCAAUUCUGUGUGCACGAUGAAGGUCUUCGGAUCGUAAAGUGCUUUCAGUUGGGAAGAAGAAAGUGACGGUACCAACAGAAGAAGCGACGGCUAAAUACGU
RNAcentral lists this ribosomal RNA (418 nucleotides) under uncultured bacterium. Its description in RNAcentral is "bacterial SSU rRNA". It matches the Rfam family "Bacterial small subunit ribosomal RNA", at positions 73 to 506 of the family's 1533-position model. The record is from RNAcentral.